GGAGAAUUGCUAGCUUGCUAAUAAUUCUCUAGUGGCGCACGGUGAGUAACACGUGAGUACCUGCCUCUUAGUGGGGGAUAGCCCUGGGAAACCGGGAUUAAUACCGCAUACGGAAACAAAGCAGCAAUGCGCUAGGAGAUGGGCUCGCGGCCUAUUAGUUAGUUGGUGAGGUAACGGCUUACCAAGGCGAUGACGGGUAGCCGGUCUGAGAGGAUGUCCGGCCACACUGGAACUGAGACACGGUCCAGACACCUACGGGUGGCAGCAGUCGAGAAUCAUUCACAAUGGGGGCAACCCUGAUGGUGCGACGCCGCGUGGGGGAUAAGGUCUUCGGAUUGUAAACCCCUGUCAUGUGGGACAUUAAAAAGAUAGUACCACAAGAGGAAGAGACGGCUAACUCUGUGCCAGCAGCCGCGGUAAUACAGAGGUCUCAAGCGUUGUUCGGAAUCACUGGGCGUAAAGCGUGCGUAGGCUGUUUCGUAAGUCGUGUGUAAAGGCAGGGGCUCAACCCUGGAUUGCACAUGAUACUGCGAGACUAGAGUAAUGGAGGGGGAACCGGAAUUCUCGGUGUAGCAGUGAAAUGCGUAGAUAUCGAGAGGAACACUCGUGGCGAAGGCGGGUUCCUGGACAUUAACUGACGCUGAGGCACGAAGGCCAGGGGAGCGAAAGGGAUUA
RNAcentral lists this ribosomal RNA (675 nucleotides) under uncultured bacterium. Its description in RNAcentral is "bacterial SSU rRNA". It matches the Rfam family "Bacterial small subunit ribosomal RNA", at positions 68 to 780 of the family's 1533-position model. The record is from RNAcentral.